Molecule: transfer-messenger RNA, 362 nt
Filed under: Periweissella fabaria
Lineage: Bacteria; Bacillati; Bacillota; Bacilli; Lactobacillales; Lactobacillaceae
Description: transfer-messenger RNA, SsrA
Rfam family: transfer-messenger RNA
About the family: Bacterial tmRNA, also known as 10Sa RNA or SsrA, is named for its dual tRNA and mRNA-like properties. Its role is to liberate the mRNA from a stalled ribosome.
Source: RNAcentral
GGGGCCGUUUUGGAUUCGACGGGUAUUGGUCGCGCUAUGACUGCAUUUAGGGGUUGUGGCCCUAUAAUCCACUCAGUCAGAAUAACUGCAAACAAUUCAAACAAAACUUACGCAUUAGCUGCUUAAUAACCAGUUAGCGUAGUCUAAGGCAUGUUCGUCCAUGAUAUGUUUUAGACCACUAAUAGUGGACUACGCUUUUAAACUUUAAUCCAGAGUGCUAAAGCGGAAAUUAAUUGGAUUAGCCGUUCUGAUCACGAAGUCAAUUCCGUGUGCGGAUUGGUGAAAUUUAAAUAGAAUUACUAUGAAUGUAGAUGUUGUAGUAGUGAGAUAUUCGGACGCGGGUUCGAACCCCGCCGGCUCCA